This 434-nucleotide ribosomal RNA is filed under the name uncultured bacterium. Its description in RNAcentral is "partial 16S ribosomal RNA". It matches the Rfam family "Bacterial small subunit ribosomal RNA", at positions 29 to 507 of the family's 1533-position model. The record is from RNAcentral.
AGCGAACGCUGGCGGCAGGCCUAACACAUGCAAGUCGAACGAACCUUUCGGGGUUAGUGGCGGACGGGUGAGUAACACGUGGGAACGUGCCUUUAGGUUCGGAAUAACUCAGGGAAACUUGUGCUAAUACCGAAUGUGCCCUUCGGGGGAAAGAUUAAUCGCCUUUAGAGCGGCCCGAGUCGGAUUAGCUAGUUGGGUGAGGUAAUGGCUCACCAAGGCGACGAUCAGUAGCUGGUCUGAGAGGAUGACCAGCAACAUUGGGAGUGAGACACGGCCGAAACUCCUGCGGGAGGAAGGAGGGGGGAAUCUUGCGCAAUGGGCGAAAGCCUGACGCAGCCAUGCCGUGUGAAUGAGGAGGGUCUUAGGAUUGUAAAAUUCUUUCGCCGGGGACGAUAAUGACGGUACCCGAAGAAGAAGCCCCGGCUAACUUCGUG